ACCUGGCUGGCUCAGUCUGUAGAGCACGUGACUCUCGAUCUUGGGGUUGUGAGCUCGAGCCCCUUGUUGGGUA
RNAcentral lists this transfer RNA (73 nucleotides) under Felis catus (domestic cat). It matches the Rfam family "tRNA". Rfam says of the family: Transfer RNA (tRNA) molecules are approximately 80 nucleotides in length. Their secondary structure includes four short double-helical elements and three loops (D, anti-codon, and T loops). The record is from Rfam by way of RNAcentral. Lineage: Eukaryota; Metazoa; Chordata; Mammalia; Carnivora; Felidae. RNAcentral also lists the same sequence under 3 other names.